This 640-nucleotide long non-coding RNA is filed under the name Dicentrarchus labrax (European seabass). RNAcentral describes it as "lncRNA (ENSDLAG00005031267.1)". The record is from RNAcentral. Lineage: Eukaryota; Metazoa; Chordata; Actinopteri; Moronidae.
GUGGACGGUCGGAAUGUAUGGUUUGAGUAAUGAGCCAAGAUUGCUAUAUGACAUGAACUAACGUCACCUGAGGGUCACACCACAGAGCAUUUACUGCGAGCAGUGAGAGGAUAUAAAAGGGCUGAGACCUUGCAGAAGCAGAAGGUGAAGGAGCGCAGCAUGACCUGAAAUAUCAGCUCCAGGCAAGAGGCCCUUUGUUGAAGUUGGAGCUGACUUGUGCGGGAAGACCUACAUGAAGGGAAUGACUGAUUGGACUGAUAAAGACUUACUCUUGGAUCGCACUGGUGGAUUAUGUUGGAUGAAGCAUCACCCUUUGAUGUGCAGAUACACAAAAUGUUACAGAUCAUGACUUUGAAGCUCAGUUUUGAUUCAAUAAGAAAGCAAACAGCCACAUAGGCUGGAUUUUAAUUAUCCCUGGGGGAUUCAAAUGUUACGUAAUAUGUGUUCAAGCUAUGAAAACCACAUAUUUGGCUGUUUGAAGAACAUUUUAAAAGAUAACAUGCAGAUGAAGGAUUAGAAACUUAGGCCUUAAUCUCAAGUACUGCACAUUUUGAAAAAUCAGCAAUGAGGGGAACAUCUAAAAGACUCAGAGAGUGAGCAAUAUGUUAAGAAUAAACUUCUUAUUGAUAUCAAAUAAAUG